This 814-nucleotide ribosomal RNA is filed under the name uncultured archaeon. Its description in RNAcentral is "bacterial SSU rRNA". It matches the Rfam family "Archaeal small subunit ribosomal RNA", at positions 1 to 797 of the family's 1478-position model. The record is from RNAcentral.
UUCCGGUUGAUCCCGCCGGACCCCACUGCUAUCGAGAUGGGACUAAGGUAUGCUAGUCGAACGACCAGAACUAUGUCUGGGAGUGGCACACUGCUCAGUAACACGUAGCUAACCUACCCUUAGGACGUGGAUACCCCCGAGAAAUUGGGGUUAAUCCGCGAUAGGUGUAAUGUCCUGGAAUGGUAUUACGUCUAAAGGUAUUUCAUACAUGUUUGAAAUAUGCCUAAGGAUGGGGCUGCGGCCGAUCAGGCUGUUGGUGAGGUAAUGGCUCACCAAACCUUUGACCGGUACGGGCCAUGAGAGUGGUAGCCCGGAGAUGGACACUGAGACAAGGGUCCAGGCCCUAAGGGGCGCAGCAACCGCGAAACCUCCACAAUGCACUCACGUGCGAUGGGGCUAUCUCGAGCGCCACCUGAUGAAGGUGGCUUUUCCUAGGUCUUCAAAGCCUUGGGAAUAAGAGGGGGGCAAGACUGGUGUCAGCCGCCGCGGUAACACCAGCCCCUCGAGUGGUGGGGAUGAUUAUUUGGCCUAAAGCGUCCGUAGCCGGCCGAGCAAGUCUUCCGUUAAAUCCAGCGUCUCAAGCGUUGGACUGCGGGAGAUACUACACGGCUAGAGAGUGGGAGAGGUCAGCGGUAUUCUGGGGGUAGGGGCGAAAUCCUUUGAUCCCCGGAGGACCACCAGUGGCGAAGGCUGCUGACUAGAACACGUCUGACGGUCAGGGACGAAGCUGGGGUAGCGAACCGGAUUAGAUACCCGGGUAGUCCCAGCCGUAAACGAUGCAUGCUAGGUGUUGGGUUGGCCACGCGCCACCCCA